Non-coding RNA from Pelobates cultripes (western spadefoot toad), 441 nucleotides. The record is from the annotation of a GenBank genome assembly. Lineage: Eukaryota; Metazoa; Chordata; Amphibia; Anura; Pelobatidae.
UAUCACUUAUAUCGUGCCAACAUAUUACGCAGCGCUUUACAAUUCUAAAAUGGGGAUAUUUAACAUCAAGUAAGUUACAUAUGCAAGAACGAGCAGAUUUCAAGAGUCAAUGAAAAGGGGUCUGUUUGUUGAGUAAAGAGGAGUGGACCCAGAUUCUUACAUUUCAUGAACUAGAAAUCGCCUGAAAUGUUUUUCUGUUUGAAUACUACACAUGCUAUAGUAACCUCCUAUCUAUGCUGUAACCUUGUUUAUACAUGCAGAGUGCUAUCAUUUAAAGCAGCAGCUUUUGCUGUGUGUCCACAAAAGCUCAGCUAGUUCCUGGUCUUGGCAGAACUUUGAACAAGCACUUCAUUCACAUCUUACCAGAGAUCUGCUGAAGUAGCGGAGGACGGAAACGGUGCUCGCCGACCCCCAGAUAAGAAGUUAAAUUGUGUAGUGGCU